UCUCAAUGCUGGAGAGCGUUUGUGAUGCUGAAGCAGUGAUCAGUUUUUCUGUUUCUUCUCUGGAGAUGCACAAUGAGGGACGUCUGCAGCGACUGAGAAAGAGUCUCACCACAUCCUUACAUGAGGAAGAAGACUUUAUUGAAGACUACAAUGAGAAAAACUAUCAGACAGCAGAUGGCUGCAUUCAAGUCUGUAGCUGCUGAAUUCAUGGAUGAAUCAUCUGGCACUAGAGAAGAAGACCAUCAAACAUCCACGUCAGCUGAUGGAGGUCCAAGAGUCUCACCAAACAAACAACCUACAGAGUGAAGACCUCAAAUCUGAUUGGACGGCCUCCUAUUCAGCCACGUGCUACAGGAGGAGCCCUAUGAGGACGAGCCGGUCCACCUGAUGGUGGCCAGUCGCUGUGGUUCAAAGCCAACACCGACUACGUGGACUUCUACUGGACCACACGGAGGCCUUCAAACCAGACCAACAAGUUCACCGACUCCC
This is a long non-coding RNA of Amphiprion ocellaris (clown anemonefish), 489 nucleotides long. NCBI's taxonomy places the organism in Eukaryota, Metazoa, Chordata, Actinopteri, Pomacentridae. The record is from Ensembl.